UCUUAUCAAGAGCAGGCGGAGGGAAAAGCCCUAUGAAGCCCGGCAACCGACAGUUAUGCACGGUGCUAAUUCUUGCGGAAGCUUUAGUUUCUGGGAGAUGAGA
RNAcentral lists this non-coding RNA (103 nucleotides) under uncultured Paenibacillus sp. RNAcentral's name for it is "SAM riboswitch (S box leader)". It matches the Rfam family "SAM riboswitch aptamer (S box leader)". Rfam says of the family: The SAM riboswitch is found upstream of a number of genes which code for proteins involved in methionine or cysteine biosynthesis in Gram-positive bacteria. The SAM riboswitch acts at the level of transcription termination control. The record is from RNAcentral. Lineage: Bacteria; Bacillati; Bacillota; Bacilli; Caryophanales; Paenibacillaceae.